CGGGACACGUGGUAUCCUGUCUGAAUAUGGGGGGACCAUCCUCCAAGGCUAAAUACUCCUGACUGACCGAUAGUGAACCAGUACCGUGAGGGAAAGGCGAAAAGAACCCCGGCGAGGGGAGUGAAAAAGAACCUGAAACCGUGUACGUACAAGCAGUGGGAGCACGCUUAGGCGUGUGACUGCGUACCUUUUGUAUAAUGGGUCAGCGACUUAUAUUCUGUAGCAAGGUUAACCGAAUAGGGGAGCCGAAGGGAAACCGAGUCUUAACUGGGCGUUAAGUUGCAGGGUAUAGACCCGAAACCCGGUGAUCUAGCCAUGGGCAGGUUGAAGGUUGGGUAACACUAACUGGAGGACCGAACCGACUAAUGUUGAAAAAUUAGCGGAUGACUUGUGGCUGGGGGUGAAAGGCCAAUCAAACCGGGAGAUAGCUGGUUCUCCCCGAAAGCUAUUUAGGUAGCGCCUCGUGAAUUCAUCUCCGGGGGUAGAGCACUGUUUCGGCAAGGGGGUCAUCCCGACUUACCAACCCGAUGCAAACUGCGAAUACCGGAGAAUGUUAUCACGGGAGACACACGGCGGGUGCUAACGUCCGUCGUGAAGAGGGAAACAACCCAGACCGCCAGCUAAGGUCCCAAAGUCAUGGUUAAGUGGGAAACGAUGUGGGAAGGCCCAGACAGCCAGGAUGUUGGCUUAGAAGCAGCCAUCAUUUAAAGAAAGCGUAAUAGCUCACUGGUCGAGUCGGCCUGCGCGGAAGAUGUAACGGGGCUAAACCAUGCACCGAAGCUGCGGCAGCGACGCUUAUGCGUUGUUGGGUAGGGGAGCGUUCUGUAAGCCUGUGAAGGUGUGCUGUGAGGCAUGCUGGAGGUAUCAGAAGUGCGAAUGCUGACAUAAGUAACGAUAAAGCGGGUGAAAAGCCCGCUCGCCGGAAGACCAAGGGUUCCUGUCCAACGUUAAUCGGGGCAGGGUGAGUCGACCCCUAAGGCGAGGCCGAAAGGCGUAGUCGAUGGGAAACAGGUUAAUAUUCCUGUACUUGGUGUUACUGCGAAGGGGGGACGGAGAAGGCUAUGUUGGCCGGGCGACGGUUGUCCCGGUUUAAGCGUGUAGGCUGGUUUUCCAGGCAAAUCCGGAAAAUCAAGGCUGAGGCGUGAUGACGAGGCACUACGGUGCUGAAGCAACAAAUGCCCUGCUUCCAGGAAAAGCCUCUAAGCAUCAGGUAACAUCAAAUCGUACCCCAAACCGACACAGGUGGUCAGGUAGAGAAUACCAAGGCGCUUGAGAGAACUCGGGUGAAGGAACUAGGCAAAAUGGUGCCGUAACUUCGGGAGAAGGCACGCUGAUAUGUAGGUGAAGUCCCUCGCGGAUGGAGCUGAAAUCAGUCGAAGAUACCAGCUGGCUGCAACUGUUUAUUAAAAACACAGCACUGUGCAAACACGAAAGUGGACGUAUACGGUGUGACGCCUGCCCGGUGCCGGAAGGUUAAUUGAUGGGGUCAGCGCAAGCGAAGCUCUUGAUCGAAGCCCCGGUAAACGGCGGCCGUAACUAUAACGGUCCUAAGGUAGCGAAAUUCCUUGUCGGGUAAGUUCCGACCUGCACGAAUGGCGUAAUGAUGGCCAGGCUGUCUCCACCCGAGACUCAGUGAAAUUGAACUCGCUGUGAAGAUGCAGUGUACCCGCGGCAAGACGGAAAGACCCCGUGAACCUUUACUAUAGCUUGACACUGAACAUUGAGCCUUGAUGUGUAGGAUAGGUGGGAGGCUUAGAAGUGUGGACGCCAGUCUGCAUGGAGCCGACCUUGAAAUACCACCCUUUAAUGUUUGAUGUUCUAACGUUGACCCGUAAUCCGGGUUGCGGACAGUGUCUGGUGGGUAGUUUGACUGGGGCGGUCUCCUCCUAAAGAGUAACGGAGGAGCACGAAGGUUGGCUAAUCCUGGUCGGACAUCAGGAGGUUAGUGCAAUGGCAUAAGCCAGCUUGACUGCGAGCGUGACGGCGCGAGCAGGUGCGAAAGCAGGUCAUAGUGAUCCGGUGGUUCUGAAUGGAAGGGCCAUCGC
This 2045-nucleotide ribosomal RNA is filed under the name Escherichia coli. RNAcentral describes it as "partial 23S ribosomal RNA". It matches the Rfam family "Bacterial large subunit ribosomal RNA", at positions 418 to 2448 of the family's 2925-position model. The record is from RNAcentral. Lineage: Bacteria; Pseudomonadati; Pseudomonadota; Gammaproteobacteria; Enterobacterales; Enterobacteriaceae.